UUAAAUUGAAGAGUUUGAUCAUGGCUCAGAUUGAACGCUGGCGGCAGGCUUAACACAUGCAAGUCGAACGGUAACAUGAGUGCUUGCACUUGAUGACGAGUGGCGGACGGGUGAGUAAGGUAUGGGGAUCUGCCG
RNAcentral lists this ribosomal RNA (135 nucleotides) under Gilliamella sp. Imp1-6. RNAcentral describes it as "partial 16S ribosomal RNA". It matches the Rfam family "Bacterial small subunit ribosomal RNA", at positions 1 to 131 of the family's 1533-position model. The record is from RNAcentral. Lineage: Bacteria; Pseudomonadati; Pseudomonadota; Gammaproteobacteria; Orbales; Orbaceae.